Molecule: ribosomal RNA, 253 nt
Filed under: uncultured bacterium
Lineage: Bacteria
Description: partial 16S ribosomal RNA
Rfam family: Bacterial small subunit ribosomal RNA
Source: RNAcentral
UACGUAGGGUGCAAGCGUUAAUCGGAAUUACUGGGCGUAAAGCGUGCGCAGGCGGUUGUGCAAGACAGGUGUGAAAUCCCCGGGCUCAACCUGGGAACUGCAUCCGAAACUGCCUUGCUAGAGUAUGGGAGAGGGAAGUGGAAUUUCCGGUGUAGCGGUGAAAUGCGUAGAUAUCGGAAGGAACAUCAGUGGCGAAGGCGACUUCCUGGACCAAUACUGACGCUCAGGUGCGAAAGCGUGGGGAGCAAACAGG